ACGAAUUAUCUGGGGUGCCGACUGGCUGAGAUUAUACCCAUUGAACCUGAUUAGAUUAAAGUCUGCGUAGGAAGAUAGUGAUGAUAGUUU
Molecule: non-coding RNA, 90 nt
Filed under: Fructobacillus sp.
Lineage: Bacteria; Bacillati; Bacillota; Bacilli; Lactobacillales; Lactobacillaceae
Description: TPP sequence
Rfam family: TPP riboswitch aptamer (THI element)
About the family: Vitamin B(1) in its active form thiamin pyrophosphate (TPP) is an essential coenzyme that is synthesised by coupling of pyrimidine and thiazole moieties in bacteria.
Source: RNAcentral